UACGUAGGGUGCAAGCGUUGUCCGGAAUUAUUGGGCGUAAAGAGCUCGUAGGCGGUCUGUCGCGUCGGCUGUGAAAUCCCGAGGCUCAACCUCGGGUCUGCAGUCGAUACGGGCAAACUGGAGUACUGCAGGGGAGACUGGAAUUCCUGGUGUAGCGGUGAAAUGCGCAGAUAUCAGGAGGAACACCGGUGGCGAAGGCGGGUCUCUGGGCCGUUACUGACACUGAGGAGCGAAAGCGUGGGGAGCGAACAGG
RNAcentral lists this ribosomal RNA (253 nucleotides) under uncultured bacterium. Its description in RNAcentral is "partial 16S ribosomal RNA". It matches the Rfam family "Bacterial small subunit ribosomal RNA", at positions 524 to 776 of the family's 1533-position model. The record is from RNAcentral.